UGUAUGUGAAGUAGAGGAUCUGCACAUACAGGCCUCCACGAAAGAUUAUUUUAGAUUUUUAGAGAUUUGAUCUCUUGUUCCACUGCUAAUCAGGUAAGGAUUUGAUCCUUAUUCAUGUAAACUAAUAGAAAAAUUUUUAGAUGCAACUUGAACUAUCUGAACAGAAAUAAUUUUUCUUCCCUUCAAGCUAGUCCUAAGGUCCUAGUUCAAGAGGAGAGGAAGCUUGUCACCAGUCGCCAAUGACCAUGAGGAUGUGCAGAGGGGCAUCGAAUGCAUCACAGCAUUCUAAUGGUUGAUGAUGUCACUUGAAACUAAUCC
RNAcentral lists this long non-coding RNA (318 nucleotides) under Elaeis guineensis (African oil palm). RNAcentral describes it as "long non-coding RNA (EGUI_LNC065401)". Lineage: Eukaryota; Viridiplantae; Streptophyta; Magnoliopsida; Arecales; Arecaceae. The record is from RNAcentral.